GAGUUCAAGAGUACGUGAAACCGUUCAGGGGUAAACCUGAGAAACCCGAAAGGUCGAAAGGGGAGAUUCAACGCGUCUCGGAGUUCGCGAUGACGUGCGCCAGAGACGGGCGUCCCUCCGUGGACAGCCAGCUCCGCACGCCUAUCGAUCGGGCACCGAACGCGUGCACUUCUCCUCCUGUAGGACGUCGUGACCCGUUGGGCGCCGGCCUAAGGCCCGCGACGGAGCCCGGACGCCUCUCGCGGUCCGGACCCGCGGUGUCCCGGCCGGCACGACCGACGGUAUAACUAAGGCGCGGGGCCGCGACUCGUUCGCGUCCGGCGCGUCGCAAGCGCGAGCGGUAAACGCGGGUAAUCCGGUCCCGUUACCGGAUCCCGACCCGUUCGGCUGUUGGCGACGCGGUCCUCGGACAGACCCCGUACACGCCAGUCUACGGCGCUAUAGCUUUGGGUACUUUCAGGACCCGUCUUGAAACACGGACCAAGGAGUCUAGCAUGUGCGCGAGUCAUUGGGACUCUACUAAACCAAAAGGCGCAAUGAAAGUAAAGGUCCGCCCCGCGCGGACCGAGGGAGGACUCGCCCGUCCGCCGCGGACGGGCGCAGCACUCCCGGGGCGUCUCGUUCUCAUCGCGAGAAGAGGCGCACCCAGAGCGUACACGCUGGGACCCGAAAGAUGGUGAACUAUGCCUGGUCAGGACGAAGUCAGGGGAAACCCUGAUGGAGGUCCGUAGCGAUUCUGACGUGCAAAUCGAUCGUCGGAACUGGGUAUAGGGGCGAAAGACUAAUCGAACCUUCUAGUAGCUGGUUC
This 808-nucleotide ribosomal RNA is filed under the name Scarabaeus deludens. RNAcentral describes it as "eukaryotic LSU rRNA". It matches the Rfam family "Eukaryotic large subunit ribosomal RNA", at positions 385 to 957 of the family's 3401-position model. The record is from RNAcentral. Lineage: Eukaryota; Metazoa; Arthropoda; Insecta; Coleoptera; Scarabaeidae.